GUGAGAUCUGCAGCACAGAAGCACAAUAUUACUCCUCGUCCAGCAUCACUUGUGGAGUUUUCUGUUGAAACAAGGAAAAUAAGUCUCACUCAACAAGUCCAGCAAACACACAAUCCUUAAUCCCCAUCCAAACAGUUAGAAUGUGAAGAAACCCAACAAGGAUCACACUGCUGCUGCUUGACCUCACACAAAAAUACCUGCAUCUGUAUUACACCAAUAAAAUAGCAUUCUACAAAAAGCUUGAGCAAGCUUUUAAAGAAAAAGAUUACAGCAUCAGUAAUGAAAAAUUGAGAAAAAAGACCGGUGUCGAGCAACAGGAGAGGGACAAGUAACUUGGGAGUAUUACAAGCAAAUGGAAGACUUAUUUGGGAAAUCCCCAGACUACAGCUCCGCAGCCCUCAGCAGCACCAGCAUCAAGCUCCCAAGAACAGCCUCUCCCAGAAGAGCAACCUGGUCCCUCCACAGAAGCACACAGAAGGAGAAUAAGAUCAACAUUAUAUGAAGUUCUUGAGGCACAUUCAGAAAGGAGAACAGCUGCUUUAGAGUCACUACUGUGGCCCGACUUGGAGCGCCGAAGAAGGCUUAAAGAGAAACGUAGAAGGGUUUCUGUUGUGGAACAAAAAUUGUAAGCCAACUAACUAGCUGGAAGUCAUGAAAGCUCGAUACGUGUUUUUGUUCAAAAUAAACCAAAACAACAGCACAACAAUUAUUGUCAGGCCCGUAAUCAAUCACUUUAUGAGAGAUUUGUGUAUGUGUUGUGUAUGCUACACAGUAUUGUGCUCUCAAAAAUGUCAA
Sinocyclocheilus grahami is the source of this 795-nucleotide long non-coding RNA. RefSeq lists it as uncharacterized. The record is from RefSeq and is a predicted model, not a curated record. NCBI's taxonomy places the organism in Eukaryota, Metazoa, Chordata, Actinopteri, Cypriniformes, Cyprinidae. The transcript has 4 exons.